This 1030-nucleotide long non-coding RNA is filed under the name Capsicum annuum. Its description in RNAcentral is "long non-coding RNA (CANN_LNC006206)". The record is from RNAcentral. Lineage: Eukaryota; Viridiplantae; Streptophyta; Magnoliopsida; Solanales; Solanaceae.
CGGCCACAACUUUUCCAGCUGCUUCUUCAAAAACAACACAACGUGUUGUCUUCACAAGGCAUAAUAUUUCUUAUUUUAUUUAUUUUCUUACAGUGGUAUUUGAUAUUUUAUAUUAUAAUGUCCUUAGUGAUAUAUGGAAGUGGAAUAGAUAGUACUAUAUAAAUUAUUUGUAAAGGCCAAAAAAAGAUGGGACCUUGAAAACAGAAUUUUAGAGAAAAACAGAUGUGCAUUCACAAAAAAGUUGCAAGUAGCCAAAGACUUAAACGGUGUUUGAGAGGUUGUAGACAACAUAAGUCAUGCUCGUUACUCUGGUGCAUCACAUGGGCUGCGAGGGGAAUGUAACAUGCAUGCAAUUCUUUUGCCUUACAACAUGCCAACAUUUCCUUAGCCACACUUCCCGACGGAUUCAGGAUUUGAAGUUUAUGAGUUUAUGCAACGCCGUUAGCAUAAAUAGUGGAUUUGGUUAGAGGUUAUUGUGAGUUCACGUGAACCCAUUGAUCGAAGGCUAGAUCCUCCUCUACACCCCAUGCCUCAAAAGAAAGAAAAGGAAAAAGAAAUGAAUUUAUGUUUUCUAUUUAAGCUCACUCAUUCGAUGGAUUCAAAUUAACAUUCUUUUAUAUACUAUUGAAAGGAAAGCACUCCGUACCAAGAGCAUCUAAUCCCCAUGCCUCGAAAGAAAGAAAAUAAAAAAAGAAAUGAAUUACAUUCGGUAUUUGAAACUCAUUCAUUUGAUAGAUUCAAAUUUACUUUUUUGUUUAUAUAAUAUUGAGGGAAAGCAAUCCGUACCAAGAGCAUCUAAUCAAUUUUGUAAGAACAUCCAUGGGCAUCAAGAAAAAGAACGUUAUAUGUGGUUUGUCAUAUCAAAACAACUAUCUCGAAUUUUGAACAAUGUUGGUAUUGCUUGUCAAGCCAUUCCUUUCACUUGGCAAAUAACAUAGAUAAUCUAUUUUAUUCCCCUUUCCCCCUUUUGAUGGGUGAGAAUGAAAAGAGGUUAAUCGAAACCUAACAAAAGGAUGUAAUAAAAGCUUAU